CAUAUGACGACAAGUACUAUGAUAAGAUCACAAAAAAUAAGUCCACAGUUUUAAUGUUCAGCAGUAUGAGCACCACUGGCAGUUUAUUGACAAAAGAAAACUUGCAUUCCAUCCAUUUCUAUUUAUCCCAAUUUACAAUGGAAGACAUUGGUGGUUGUGGAUUGCUGAUGUAAACAAUAAGAAAUUCUAUAUCCUUGACCCUAUCAACAAGAAGCCAAAAGAAAUACCUGAUUCGUGAUAGGAAAUAAACAAAUUUGUUAGUUUAAUAAUUUCCCAGAUAAGGGUGUACGCUGGGGCGGAACCCUUAAUAAAAGAUCCACUGGGAGAGGAAGCAGAGUAUAUCCCAUUGAAUGGUCAACGUACAAGGUAAGA
Arachis duranensis is the source of this 372-nucleotide long non-coding RNA. RefSeq lists it as uncharacterized. The record is from RefSeq and is a predicted model, not a curated record. The transcript is spliced from 3 exons. Lineage: Eukaryota; Viridiplantae; Streptophyta; Magnoliopsida; Fabales; Fabaceae.